CAGAGCCGCGGUAAUACAGAGGGUGCAAGCGUUAAUCGGAAUUACUGGGCGUAAAGCGCGCGUAGGUGGUUUGUUAAGUUGGAUGUGAAAUCCCCGGGCUCAACCUGGGAACUGCAUCCAAAACUGGCAAGCUAGAGUAUGGUAGAGGGUGGUGGAAUUUCCUGUGUAGCGGUGAAAUGCGUAGAUAUAGGAAGGAACACCAGUGGCGAAGGCGACCACCUGGACUGAUACUGACACUGAGGUGCGAAAGCGUGGGGAGCAAACAGGAUUAGAUACCCCAGUAGUCCUGUCUCUUAUACAC
This 301-nucleotide ribosomal RNA is filed under the name uncultured bacterium. RNAcentral describes it as "partial 16S ribosomal RNA". It matches the Rfam family "Bacterial small subunit ribosomal RNA", at positions 509 to 810 of the family's 1533-position model. The record is from RNAcentral.